GUACCCGGGCGAAUUCCAAGCUUGAGUUUGAUCCUGGCUCAGAACGAACGCUGGCGGCGUGCCUAACACAUGCAAGUCGAACGAGAAGGGGGCUUCGGUCCCUGGAAAGUGGCGCACGGGUGAGUAACGCGUGGAUAAUCUACCUAGUGGUCUGGGAUAACAUCUCGAAAGGGGUGCUAAUACCGGAUAAGCCCACGAGGUCUACGGAUCUAGCGGGAAAAGGGGGGGACUUUCGGGCCUUCUGCCACUGGAUGAGUCCGCGUACCAUUAGCUAGUUGGUGGGGUAAUGGCCCACCAAGGCUACGAUGGUUAGCUGGUCUGAGAGGAUGAUCAGCCACACUGGAACUGAGACACGGUCCAGACUCCUACGGGAGGCAGCAGUUAGGAAUCUUCCACAAUGGGCGCAAGCCUGAUGGAGCAACACCGCGUGCUGGAUGAAGGCCUUCGGGUCGUAAACAGCUUUUGUAUACGAAGAAUAUGACGGUAAUAUACGAAUAAGGGUCGGCUAACUACGUGCCAGCAGCCGCGGUCAUACGUAGGACCCAAGCGUUAUCCGGAGUGACUGGGCGUAAAGAGUUGCGUAGGCGGUCUUUCAAGCGAGUAGUGAAAUCUGGUGGCUCAACCAUCAACCCAUUGCUCGAACUGGGAGACUUGAGAGUGGUAGAGGUAGCUGGAAUUUCUUGUGUAGGAGUGAAAUCCGUAGAUAUAAGAAGGAACACCAAUGGCGUAGGCAGGCUACUGGACCAUUUCUGACGC
Molecule: ribosomal RNA, 756 nt
Filed under: uncultured bacterium
Lineage: Bacteria
Description: bacterial SSU rRNA
Rfam family: Bacterial small subunit ribosomal RNA
Source: RNAcentral